Numida meleagris (helmeted guineafowl) is the source of this 1145-nucleotide long non-coding RNA. RefSeq lists it as uncharacterized. The record is from RefSeq and is a predicted model, not a curated record. The transcript has 3 exons. NCBI's taxonomy places the organism in Eukaryota, Metazoa, Chordata, Aves, Galliformes, Numididae.
GAGAUCAGGUGCUUUAGCCAUACAGCUUAAUUUGGGAAGCUCACCUGAAACAACAGGAGUGGUUAUUUCAGGGCUGCAGUGUGAAGCUUGUGUGAUGUGCUGCCUGAGACAACUGCUGUUGCUGGCUAUAGACAACCCAGCUUCCUUGAUGCAGAUGCCUGGCAUUCAGAGUUCCUUGAAUGAAAGCCAUUAUCCACCUCCAGUCAGACCAUCCAGCAGAAAGAGCAAGGCAAUCUGAACAGCACAGAGGCAGCAGAGGAAGGGACUUCUUGCCUCUGCACUACAGGACACAUAUGUUCCUAUUUCUAUCAGGUAGCUAAAGAGGUCCACAGCUAAGGAAAAAGGCACAACUUCUUGCUGUACCCACAGCACUAAUGAGCCAGUCAAAAAUGAAUGGCAAAAGCCUACUUGGAGGAACUGAAUUUACCGCUCCUGCAGAGAUUUGGAGAUGCACAUUGGAGCCUCCCAUGGGACCGGUGUGCCUGGUGACACAGCCACAGCUCGGCAGCAGAACUGAGCCCUUAAAGUCAUCAAGAUGCAAAGCGGAGAAAACACAUGCAUGUUCCCCAUUGCACUGAUGGGAGCGAUAGGUCUGCACGUCAAAACCUCAUUUAGGGUGUGAUAUUCCUAUCACGCAUCCCUCCAGGUGGGGCUCCCACAGCCCCCAGGAGAAGAUGCUUUGCUAGAACAAUUUCACUGAGACCUGAGUGAGGACAGCCCCCUGCUUCCCCCUCGAAUUUCGAUGCGUUCAGUGUCAUUUUGCCUUUUAGGGAAUUAAGCAUCUCUUUCCUCCCUCCUGAAAUCACUUUUCCACCCUGCAUCACGCUGGGCUGGGCUCCAUCCCCAGGCCUCGGGCCUAACUUCUGGGAGUGCCCGAGCUCCGGAGCGGUGUCCUCGCCCUCCUUCCUCCCGCGGGGACGAGGGGCCGCCAUCUCCUCAGCGUUUCCCAGCCGGGCCCAGGACAGGUGCGGCCUCCCCCCCACCGCAGGAGCCCUCCAUCUCAGCCUCCCCACCCCGCGAUGGCUACGGCGCGGGGCUCGUCCUCCUUUCCUCCCUCCCUCCUCUCUCUGCGGGCCGCGUCUCGGCGCGCCCGUGGGCUUGGCUUGCGGCCGCUGCCCGCGCGAGGCUCGGCGUGAGUCACUCCG